Molecule: non-coding RNA, 98 nt
Organism: Acanthosepion pharaonis
Lineage: Eukaryota; Metazoa; Mollusca; Cephalopoda; Sepiida; Sepiidae
Source: the annotation of a GenBank genome assembly
GCUGACACACCGGUCCACGUAUGAUCACCGAAGUUAAGCCGCGUCGAACCUCGUCAGUAACUAGAUGGGUGACCGCUUGGGAAUACCAAGUGCUAUAA